Molecule: long non-coding RNA, 597 nt
Filed under: Rattus norvegicus (Norway rat)
Lineage: Eukaryota; Metazoa; Chordata; Mammalia; Rodentia; Muridae
Description: long non-coding RNA NONRATT014533
Source: RNAcentral
CAGUGCUGUUGUCCUCCAGUCCCACAGCUCUCCAGCCUCCCACCCCACCCCACCCCCCUUCUCUGAGGCACGUAUCAUUAGCUGAUGCAAUUUGUUGGGACCUAGAUCUGCCUCCUGUCUCCCGGGGAGAGAUAUGGAGAAGGAGGAGGUCUUCUGCACAUAAAACAGUUUCCUGACUGCACCACACAGGUUUGAGGCUCCUCUCCAGAGGAGGCAGGGCACAACAUCAGGUUACACCAGGCUGGGAAACCUCACCCUGCAGUCCUCUGCUCUAAGUCUGGAUUUCUUCCCUGUGGGAAGCAACUCCUUUCCUCUUCCUAUGACCACUCUGCUCAUUAAAGACUCACAUCCUCUGCUUCACGUGAACGUCCAAGGAACACGGUACGGAAGACAAGUAUAGCUGUGGUUCUGCUGUGGCUCUUCUCCAUGAAGUGAACGAAGAACAGCCUUGAGUACCACACUGGAGUCUGACUUUACGAAGGUUCCUGAGAGAGGGGGCCAGGCAACAGACAUGGCUUUUUGUUUUGUUUUGUUAUGUUUUUAGUUGUUCUUGUUUUAAAAGAAGGGACAGUUUCUUAUUAAAGUAGGUAUUUAUUU